UACAGAGGUGUCAAACGUUGUCCGGAAUUAUUGGGCGUAAAGGGCGCGUGGGCGGCCGGGUAAGUGAGAUGUGAAAGCUCUGGGCUCAACCCAGGAAUUGCAUUUCAUACUGCUCGGCUUGAGAUUGGUAGAGGAUGGCGGAAUUCCAGGUGUAGCGGUGAAAUGCGUAGAUAUCUGGAGGAACACCUGUGGCGAAGGCGGCUAUCUGAUCCAAUUCUGACGCUGAGGCGCGAAAGGUAGGGGAGCAAACAGG
Molecule: ribosomal RNA, 253 nt
Filed under: uncultured bacterium
Lineage: Bacteria
Description: partial 16S ribosomal RNA
Rfam family: Bacterial small subunit ribosomal RNA
Source: RNAcentral